Molecule: ribosomal RNA, 468 nt
Filed under: uncultured bacterium
Lineage: Bacteria
Description: partial 16S ribosomal RNA
Rfam family: Bacterial small subunit ribosomal RNA
Source: RNAcentral
GACGAACGCUGGCGGCGUGCUUAACACAUGCAAGUCGAACGGAAAGGCCCUGCUCUUGUGGGGUGCUCGAUUGCCGAACGGGGGAGUAACACGCGAGUAACCUGCCCCUGAAUUUCGGAUAACUUCAGGAAACUGGGGCUCAUACCCGAUAGGAGCUCCUGCUGCACGGUGGGGGAUGGAAAGUUUCGGCGGUUGGGGCUGGACUCGCGGCUUAUGCGCUUGUUGGUGGGGUAGGUGCUUACCAAGGCUGUGACGGGUAGCCGGCCUGAGAGGGUGACCGGCCACAUGGGGACUGAGAUACGGCCCAGAAUCCAACGGGAGGCAGCAGUGGGGAAUAUUGCACAACGGGCGGAAGUCUGAGGCAGCAACGCCGCGUGCGGGAUGACGGCCUUCGGGUGGUAAACCGCUUUCGCCUGUGACGAAGCGUGAGUGACGGUAAUGGGUAAAGAAGCACCGGCUAACUACGUG